Molecule: unclassified non-coding RNA, 283 nt
Filed under: uncultured fungus
Lineage: Eukaryota; Fungi
Description: partial contains 18S rRNA, ITS1, 5.8S rRNA, ITS2 and 28S rRNA
Source: RNAcentral
AAGGAUCAUUGAAUCUUAUCAAUACCAACACCGUGAACCAACCCUGUAUGGCCCUGGGGCUGCUGCCUGUCAAAGGGUGGGAGCCAGCAGCGCUCUGUGUGCGCGCUCCUUGCUGAGCGCGUGGACAGGGCGGCACUGGGAGGCUGCUCUUCUGCAGCUGACCAGGGCGGCCGCUUUCUUUAAAUCAUCAACACCAAAUCUUUUGUCUCUAAAGCUAUACUGUUGCAGCAUUGCUGGAACAUGUAACCAAAGACAACUCUCAACAACGGAUAUCUUGGCUCUC